GACGAACGCUGGCGGCGUGCUUAACACAUGCAAGUCGAACGGAAAGGCCUGCUUUCCCUUGUGGAUUGCGGGUACUCGAGUGGCGAACGGGUGAGUAACACGUGAGUGAUCUGCCCCCAACUUGGGUAUAAGCCUGGGAAACUGGGUCUAAUUCCCGAUAGGACUGCAGGGUGGUGCCUGUGGUGGAAAACGAUUUUCUAGUGGUUGGGGAUGAGCUCGCGGCCUAUCAGCUUGUUGGUGGGGUAAUGGCCUACCAAGGCGGCGACGGGUAGCCGGCCUGGGGGGGUGGACGGCCACAUUGGGACUGGGAUAAGGCCCAGACUCCUACGGGAGGCAGCAGUGGGGAAUAUUGGACAAUGGGCGGAAGCCUGAUGCAGCGACGCCGCGUGGGGGAUGACGGCCUUCGGGUUGUAAACUCCUUUCGACCGCGAGGAAGCCACCUGGUUGGAGGGGUGGUGACGGUAGUGGUAGAAGAAGCACCGGCUAACUACGUG
This 494-nucleotide ribosomal RNA is filed under the name uncultured bacterium. RNAcentral's name for it is "partial 16S ribosomal RNA". It matches the Rfam family "Bacterial small subunit ribosomal RNA", at positions 28 to 507 of the family's 1533-position model. The record is from RNAcentral.